This 1102-nucleotide ribosomal RNA is filed under the name Lactiplantibacillus plantarum. RNAcentral describes it as "bacterial SSU rRNA". It matches the Rfam family "Bacterial small subunit ribosomal RNA", at positions 64 to 1136 of the family's 1533-position model. Lineage: Bacteria; Bacillati; Bacillota; Bacilli; Lactobacillales; Lactobacillaceae. The record is from RNAcentral.
GAACUCUGGUAUUGAUUGGUGCUUGCAUCAUGAUUUACAUUUGAGUGAGUGGCGAACUGGUGAGUAACACGUGGGAAACCUGCCCAGAAGCGGGGGAUAACACCUGGAAACAGAUGCUAAUACCGCAUAACAACUUGGACCGCAUGGUCCGAGCUUGAAAGAUGGCUUCGGCUAUCACUUUUGGAUGGUCCCGCGGCGUAUUAGCUAGAUGGUGGGGUAACGGCUCACCAUGGCAAUGAUACGUAGCCGACCUGAGAGGGUAAUCGGCCACAUUGGGACUGAGACACGGCCCAAACUCCUACGGGAGGCAGCAGUAGGGAAUCUUCCACAAUGGACGAAAGUCUGAUGGAGCAACGCCGCGUGAGUGAAGAAGGGUUUCGGCUCGUAAAACUCUGUUGUUAAAGAAGAACAUAUCUGAGAGUAACUGUUCAGGUAUUGACGGUAUUUAACCAGAAAGCCACGGCUAACUACGUGCCAGCAGCCGCGGUAAUACGUAGGUGGCAAGCGUUGUCCGGAUUUAUUGGGCGUAAAGCGAGCGCAGGCGGUUUUUUAAGUCUGAUGUGAAAGCCUUCGGCUCAACCGAAGAAGUGCAUCGGAAACUGGGAAACUUGAGUGCAGAAGAGGACAGUGGAACUCCAUGUGUAGCGGUGAAAUGCGUAGAUAUAUGGAAGAACACCAGUGGCGAAGGCGGCUGUCUGGUCUGUAACUGACGCUGAGGCUCGAAAGUAUGGGUAGCAAACAGGAUUAGAUACCCUGGUAGUCCAUACCGUAAACGAUGAAUGCUAAGUGUUGGAGGGUUUCCGCCCUUCAGUGCUGCAGCUAACGCAUUAAGCAUUCCGCCUGGGGAGUACGGCCGCAAGGCUGAAACUCAAAGGAAUUGACGGGGGCCCGCACAAGCGGUGGAGCAUGUGGUUUAAUUCGAAGCUACGCGAAGAACCUUACCAGGUCUUGACAUACUAUGCAAAUCUAAGAGAUUAGACGUUCCCUUCGGGGACAUGGAUACAGGUGGUGCAUGGUUGUCGUCAGCUCGUGUCGUGAGAUGUUGGGUUAAGUCCCGCAACGAGCGCAACCCUUAUUAUCAGUUGCCAGCAUUAAGUUGGGC